RNAcentral lists this long non-coding RNA (2741 nucleotides) under Homo sapiens (human). RNAcentral describes it as "HSALNT0316891". The record is from RNAcentral. Lineage: Eukaryota; Metazoa; Chordata; Mammalia; Primates; Hominidae.
AGUGACAGCAGAGUGUUAAAACAAGCACAGGGCCUCUUGUGAGGGUGGGCCUAAGUGAUGGCACAGGCUACAUUCCCAUGAAGCCACCCCUGCUUGUGGGACUAGGUCAGGCAUGUGAUGGGGCCCCAUGCUGGACUUAACAUGUCUGGGCAUGCAUAACUGAGUAAUAGGGUAAAUCCCCUACAUCAAUUUUCUGGUUUUCCUAUACAAAAAAGCACAAAGUAUGUGCUUCACAAGGGACUGGGUUGGGAGAAUAAGAAGUGCCAAUUCCUGGACCCUGGCCCAGCCCUGAGGAUGGGCAUCUGACUGAGCCCUUUGCAGAGUGAGGCUGCAAGCAGAAGCUGAAGGAGCCGUUUUUCUCAAGGGCCCUGUGGAUGUGGAGAAGCCUGCAGGGAUGCUUGGGGGUUCAGAUGACUGCAUGGCACAGAGCCUCCCACAGCUCUGAAGAGCAGUAAGCCAGGUACUGGACAACUAAGCACUGCAGAAAGACCCAGUUGGUCUGGUCCCUCAGGGCAGCAGCUCUGGGGGGCACCGCCACAGCUUUUCACUGUGGAGAUCAGCAGCAGCAGCUAUGGCAGCAUCCUGACCUCACAGGCCUUCCUGCCUUGCAUGGAGGAGCCAGGCAGGAGAGGAGCAAGACCUGUAGAAGCCUGGGUGAUAGAAGACUACUUGUGAGCUGGUGUGAGUCACGCUCAGCAAAGGGGGAAGAAGCAGUAAAAUGGGGUUAGAAUCAUUCCUGGGACUCUGUUUGUAACCAAGGGUUCUAGGGAAGACUGGUUACAGAAGUGAUCUUGGUGUUGAGCACUUAAAGGCCCAAGAUGGACCGGUUCUAUGAAGGUCGGCAGCAUGAGUAUGGUGUCACGACUCAGACAGGAUGAGAGUCAUCAUUGGAUCCCUGGGCCUCUCACCCAGGACCCCAGGUGCCUACCUUUGAAGCUUUCAUCUUCACUCCUGACUGACUGAUUGGGGCUCCAUUGGUGAGCCCGACUCCUGAUCCAAUCCAGGCCUCCAGAUGACAGUCUGUUGAAGAAUGGGCAGCACAGAUUGUGAUUCUUGAGAUUCUGAGUAUACUCUUGAAGCUGGGUUAGUGUCCUAGGCUUCUCUGCUUGUAAGAACUGGGCUAUAAUCCCAGGCAAACAAAAGGCUGGGUUGGAAUCUCAGGUUUCUCUGUAAGAAAGAGGCUGAGUUAGAUUCCCAGGCUUUCCUGUUUUAAGACAUAGAGUUGGGAUUAGAGUGCCAGGCUCCAUUGUUUGUGAGGUAUCAUGAGUUAUGAACAUGGCAGCUUCUCAGUUGACUGAACCUCACCCCAACCUCCUUCUGAAACCCCUGCUGACUAUGUGCUCCACCACCUAGGCACUAACUCUGUCUGCUUCCCUUCUUGUUGAUAUGAUCUUACAAAGGAUAAUUUGGGACUUCCCUAAAGUGGCAUCUCUAAGAUCUCUCUCUUCCUUUUGCCUCCAUUCCUCCUUCCAUUUUUGAUAUGCCCUCCUUUAAACCCCCACCUCCUCCACAUUUUUGUUCAGCCCUGCCAGACUUUUCCCUUCCCACUCCAGGCUCUCAACUACCUACACUCACUGGAGCCCCGUUGGAGACUCUAUGGGACUCAAGAGCCUCCAAAAGCAACUACAAUAUCUUAAAAAUGUCCUCCAUAAUAUUGGUAAAAAAUAUUUUUGCUCUCACAUUGGUCAGGUAGCAACUUGUUCCAUUCACCAAAAACACAAUUUGGAUAAAAAAAUUAAAGUGCAGUAAAGACGAGAGCCAACCAUUUCAUAUAAACCAGAGUUCUGUAUUACUGUGUUUACCUGACUCAUGGCUACAAUUUUAAAAUGGAAGCUAUAAGGUCUCCAUUUGCAUCUAUCUGUAUGUUUAUGUAUGUACAUAUGUAUGUUAUGUAUAUGUGAUACUUUCCUAUCUUCUGAUGGUAUUACCCAAUUAAUUUAUAAAACCCUAUAAAGAAGCUCUAUUCUGACAGGCUUAGGGACAAAUUGCUUAUAUCAAUUAAAUAUUUAUAAAGCUCUCAGAAAUAUAGGAAUUAACCCCAAUUUUUUUUAAGUUCAUGUGACUUUGGGAAAUAUUUGUUAGAUAAAACCAGUUUAAAAUUGUUGAUUGAAUAAAACAGCUGUCUUCUGAGUUAUCACAUGUAUUAAAUUCAUGUGAGUGGAAUCAAAAUUUUAUAAAUGAACUUUUUGACAAUAAUUAUGUUUUAUAAUAUCUGCCUAAAAAUGCUUUCCACAAUCUUUUUGGUAACUUGCAAUCUUAAAAUUAUGCUAAGUAAUACAUAUUCAUUAACUAUCUAGAUUAUUUCUAAGUCAGAUAAACCACUGAAAAUUUAUUUUUAAGCAUAAGUUUAAUUUUAUAUACUUUUGGCUUCUUAUUUUUAUAUCAUAUAGAGAGGCUACAUAUAUUUAGGUCUGUUACUAAACAUUCUUUUUGCCACAUUAAAACAAUUGUAUUACGAGGAAGCACAUACCUAUAAAAAUUGUGAGAUGGUAUAUUCAUAAAAUUUGCUGAUCUGCUACAGAAUGUUGGUACUUGACAGACAACUCACAAUUGUCUAUAACCUAGUUUUUUCUGUUACCAAAAAAAGAGGUUACUUAUGGUUAAAAAUUUUAAUCAACAUAUGUAAAUAAAGCUACUAGAACUAAUAAAGAUAAAGGGAAAUGACUUGCAAGCACAAUUUGCAAAGCAGGAAGAAUGUGUUUUUGUAUGGGAAAAAUAAAAAUAACUGUCUUAAAGUGAAA